GGAUCCGUGGGGUAGUUAGGAUAUCCUGCUGGCCUUCGAAGCCGAUGACCCGGGUUCAAAUCCCGGCGGGUCCG
Non-coding RNA from Ferroplasma sp. Type II, 74 nucleotides. The record is from Rfam. NCBI's taxonomy places the organism in Archaea, Methanobacteriati, Thermoplasmatota, Thermoplasmata, Thermoplasmatales, Ferroplasmaceae.